Long non-coding RNA from Passer domesticus (house sparrow), 782 nucleotides. RefSeq lists it as uncharacterized. The record is from RefSeq and is a predicted model, not a curated record. The transcript has 2 exons. Lineage: Eukaryota; Metazoa; Chordata; Aves; Passeriformes; Passeridae.
CAGAGGCCUGGCACAGGGUGCCCAGAGCAGCUGUGGCUGCCCCUGGAUCCCUGGCAGUGCCCAAGGCCAGGGGCUUGGAGCACUCUGGGAUAGUGGAAGGAGGUGGGAUGGGCUGGGCUUUAAAGUCCCUUCCAAGGCAAUCCAUGCUGUGAUUCUGUGAUUUCACAAUCCUCAGCUCUGAGGAGCCACAGCUCUUUGUCACCACACAAAGAAAACGCUUGGGCAGGACUCACCUGAGACUGUAAGCUCUGGUGGGCAGAUGUCCGGAGACAAAGAAGGCACAGGAAAAGGAUUUUCACGUCUAUUCUAGAAAAACAAGACAAAACAGCACAGACAGUUGCUAAGAAGAAUCUGUUGCUGUAAAUAAUGAGCAGGAGAUAGAGGAGUUCAAGGCAGAGCCAUGAGGGUGCUACAUACACCUCUUGUGCAGGUCUGCAAAGCAAGGUGUUUUGUGAAUGGUCUUGUAUGAAAGGAACAUCCAGCCAGCCUCUUUUGAAGGAAAUUUGUGUGGAAGAGAGCAGAAAGGACACCCAGCAUGGCACCAGUCCAGGAGGGGAAUGACAAAUGCACACAAUGGAGCUGCAGACCCUGAGGGCUGUGUGGUUAAACCCUGUCCAGCCAUUCACAGCUCAAGCACUUCUCUGCAAACACAAUGUGGAGCUUGGCUUUGCAGGAGGAAUGAGCCUGGCUUAUCAUUAGAGUAGGAGCAGGAAUGGGCUGCGUAGGAAUGCUGGGGAUUCAUCUUCUUCAGAGGGCUUGAAGAAUAAAGAGUUGUGCCUGCC